GAAAAAUAAACGCUGUAGCCUUCGAGAACGGUUGUUUCGGCUCCUGUUCUGUGGGCGGCUGAGGACCGCCGGCUGCCCGGCUCGGAGAAGAACAGGACGGUGUGGACCUGCGCCCCUCUUCCCCGUAGCGACCGUGUUGGAGAAACUCGCUCGGAGGACCAGUGUGCUGCGGGGGCCAAAACUCACGCUGCCCAGCCUUGAAGAGCUGGAGAACGGAGCCGGGCCCCGCCGAACCUGCGCUCGCAGAGAAUGUUAUCUUCACAGCAACUUAGCAAGCCCCACAGAACAAAAGUUAAAGCGUGAUUGCACUAUACCUUGCCCCGGGUUACUCAGGCGCCUGUCUCCCAUUUUGGACAUGCAGGAAAUGUUGGAUUUGGGGAGGUUUGAUUUGGCUGGGUUUGGUUUGUCUAUAUAAGCCCUGCUGGAGUACUGUACUGAGGAACGCGCCUUGAUGGACUCGGGUGUUAAUUAACGCGCUAAUUUGAGCUUCAGGAGCGGGAGGCGGCCGGUAGCACCGCGAGCCGCGAGGGGCCAGUGACCUCUAGUGGACAUGAGGAGAUAUGCAGCGCGAGUGAGCGUGUAGCAGAGAAAACUCUUUCCUGAGCAGCUGCUCGCGUGUCUCCUCUGAAUCCAAUGCAAGGGAGGGACACAAGUCCCCAAUUUAAGGGAGAAAGAGCCGUCAGCAAGUGGUGUCGACCAAAGACCUUAGCUCUUCUGAUGUAUCUGAAAUCUAAACGCAAUUUAAGCGCGCGUGCACACACACAUUGUUACUUAUCAGUUUUUCCAGCGAGAGAAGAACAUAUGGAAAGGGUUUGAGAAGUGAGCGUGAAUAACUUUGGUUUCUGAACCUAGAGAAAAGCAGGGCUUUCAAAGCUCCGGAGGCACCAGCGAUUCAGGGGAAGGAGUCGGAGUGUGAUUCUGUAAACAAAGUUCAUCAGUACUCCCAAGAUUUUUUUUUUUUUCUGUAAAGAAUUGAGAAAAAAAAAACGUAAAAAGCUUAGUUGGGUCAACAACAAGAAAGUAAUCGAACAAAUGAUGUGUGGAAAGGUCCAGAUGCUCCUGAGUUCACACCCCUCAGGCAAAUAAGAAGACAAAAAUAAGAACAAAAGAACCCCUUCGCUUAACAAAAAUAAAAUAAAGGCCAAGAGGAGAAAAUGA
Homo sapiens (human) is the source of this 1158-nucleotide long non-coding RNA. Ensembl annotates it as MEF2C antisense RNA 2. Its record names the gene MEF2C-AS2. The record is from Ensembl. Lineage: Eukaryota; Metazoa; Chordata; Mammalia; Primates; Hominidae.